RNAcentral lists this ribosomal RNA (810 nucleotides) under uncultured bacterium. RNAcentral describes it as "bacterial SSU rRNA". It matches the Rfam family "Bacterial small subunit ribosomal RNA", at positions 8 to 796 of the family's 1533-position model. The record is from RNAcentral.
AGAGUUUGAUCAUGGCUCAGAACGAACGCUGGCGGCGUGGAUAAGACAUGCAAGUCGAGCGAGAUUUUUCGCUGUAGCAAUACAGUGGAAAGUCUAGCGGCGAACGGGUGCUUAACACGUGGGCAACCUGCCAGGAAGUGGGGGAUAGCUCGCCGAAAGGCGAAUUAAUACCGCAUGUGAUUAGAGAGGACAUCCUUUCGAAAUUAAAGUCGGGGCAACCUGACGCUUCUUGUGGGGCCCGCGGCCUAUCAGCUAGUUGGUGAGGUAACGGCCCACCAAGGCUUUGACGGGUAGCUGGUCUGAGAGGACGACCAGCCACACUGGGACUGAGACACGGCCCAGACACCUACGGGUGGCAGCAGUCGAGAAUUUUUGACAAUGGGGGAAACCCUGAUCGAGCGACGCCGCGUGGAGGAUGAAGGUCUUCGGAUUGUAAACUCCUGUCAUUGGGGAACAAGGUGCAUACGUUAACUGCGUGCGCAUUGAUAGUACCCGAAGAGGAAGAGACGGCUAACUCUGUGCCAGCAGCCGCGGUAAUACAGAGGUCUCAAGCGUUGUUCGGAUUCAUUGGGCGUAAAGGGUGCGUAGGCGGCGCGGUAAGUCGGGUGUGAAAUCUCGGAGCUUAACUCCGAAACUGCAUUCGAUACUGCCGUGCUUGAGGACUGGAGAGGAGACUGGAAUUUACGGUGUAGCGGUGAAAUGCGUAGAUAUCGUAAGGAAGACCAGUGGCGAAGGCGGGUCUCUGGACAGUUCCUGACGCUGAGGCACGAAGGUCAGGGGAGCAAACGGGAUUAGAUACCCCAGUAGUCC